GCUUGUCUCAAAGAUUAAGCCAUGCAUGUCUAAGUGUAAAUAAGUCUAUACUGUGAAACUGCGAAUGGCUCAUUAAAUCAGUUAUCGUUUAUUUGAUGAUCUCUUACUACUUGGAUAACCGUAGUAAUUCUAGAGCUAAUACAUGCACAAAAUCCCGACUUACGAAGGGAUGUAUUUAUUAGAUACAGAAUCAAUACGUGUUCUGCACGUUCUAUUGAUGAAUCAUAAUAACUGUUCGAAUCGCACGGGCAACCGGCGAUAGUUCAUUCAAAUUUCUGCCCUAUCAGCUUUCGACGGUA
This 299-nucleotide ribosomal RNA is filed under the name uncultured fungus. RNAcentral describes it as "partial small subunit ribosomal RNA". It matches the Rfam family "Eukaryotic small subunit ribosomal RNA", at positions 30 to 330 of the family's 1831-position model. The record is from RNAcentral. Lineage: Eukaryota; Fungi.